Molecule: unclassified non-coding RNA, 232 nt
Filed under: Hevea brasiliensis (rubber tree)
Lineage: Eukaryota; Viridiplantae; Streptophyta; Magnoliopsida; Malpighiales; Euphorbiaceae
Source: RNAcentral
GUGCCCCCUCCCCUCCAGGCCACCAUGCACUAUUCCCAUGAUAUAUUGGCUUUGUGUUUAUGAGAUGAGCUAAUUAGGUUGCUUUUUUAACUAAUACUAGUAUUACUUCUUUUAAGAGUUAUGACUUGAAUUUCCCAUAUCAAAUUACAUUUAACUCAAUGUAUUAUAUUUAUAAUAAGUAAAUAAAUGACAUUAUAUUAUAAUAUUACUAUUUGAUUGGCCUUAAACUGAA